This is a long non-coding RNA of Megalopta genalis, 755 nucleotides long. RefSeq lists it as uncharacterized. The record is from RefSeq and is a predicted model, not a curated record. NCBI's taxonomy places the organism in Eukaryota, Metazoa, Arthropoda, Insecta, Hymenoptera, Halictidae.
AAAGAAAAUUCAUCGUGGCGCCACGGAGAAUUCCCGUAAAACCGGCGUGGCAUUCGACGUGUUAACUAGCCCGAGUCAAAUCGAUCCGCUCGAAGCAAAUUAACCAGGAUGUCAGCUCGAAGAAACGUUUCAACAGAAACGAAACCCCGAUUUUCGAAGUUGUUCGAGGCAAAGGAAUACGGGGUCGUCGAGCAAGCGGAAUCGAAAGGAAUGGUCGCGAGGGUGCGCGAGGCACCCGUUCCGUUCGAUCCGUUGAACCGAGCCAGUCGAUGCAGAGCCGAAGGGAAUGGAUCCGGUGAUCGACGUCCUUCGGGCGCUCCACGGCGUGAGUCGAAGACGUGACUCGUCUGGCGAGGAUCGGCAAACCGAGAAGUUAAUGUCUCGGAACGGACGCCAUAUUAGCAUAUCCGCGUCCAAUCGUCGCCCACGUGGCUGGGGCGCCGUGGCGGAUCGGCCCGGAGCUAUAUGACAUUGUCAUUAUUUCACUGACAGAACAAGCAUGCGCGCGAUUCGACACGCAGAAGUAUCGCUAACAAGGGUGGGAAGAGUCCGGCCAGAAUCGGAGCUAAGGGGAGUAGAUGCUCCUUUUAAAUCGGGCCACCAAACAUAAUGGGUCGUGUCUCUUUCAAAUCCACUUUCAUACCCUCCGCCCGAUCAAGCGUUCGCCGGGGUCAUUGUCUUCGCAGCCGAUAAUCUCGCUUCGAUCUUUCCAACAACGGUCGACCAAUAAAUAAACCUCUAUGUAACAAUCUUGA